Long non-coding RNA from Scleropages formosus (Asian bonytongue), 2527 nucleotides. NCBI's taxonomy places the organism in Eukaryota, Metazoa, Chordata, Actinopteri, Osteoglossiformes, Osteoglossidae. The record is from Ensembl.
CAGCGCAUUGGCAUUAGUGUAUUGGUGAUUAAAUUAUAGUGCUGAAAUACCUAAUUUAUGUAUCUGGUGUGACAGAUUUUAAGGCGAAAGCCAUAGCCAUACCAACUGGCAGCGGAGAGCUCCUCCCCUGCUCUCAUACUGGGAAUAUACAUGUGCAUAUAAACACUGCAGAACAGAUUGCUGGAUCAGUUUAUCAAGGCACUUCAUCAGGCAGUCCAGGCAGCUGGAAUACUGGAAUAUUGCAUGCUCACACACACAUACACACACACACGCACAAAGUGCAUAACAUUUGCAUAUCAACUCUUGCAGGAAUUGAAGACUCUGAUUUGAAGGUUGCUCCGGUUUGAACAAAACCUAAGUCAAGAUGGGGAAUGAAGCGUCUUACGAAAUGCAGGACCAUAAAGAGGUCAACGGAAAGCUCCAGAAUGGGGGCUUGAAUGGCCACGCUGUGAGCAUCUCUUUGAAGGAGGAACCCAAUGAAAUGGCUGUACAACAGUUCAAUGUCCUCCCCACUCCUCCUAUCGCAAAGGACACAGCCCCCACGGCAGCAAGCGAGCCAGACGGUUUGAAAGCACCCAGCAGCACCCCCCAGGUUCAGCCAUCUCCAAACAAGCCAGAUCCACCCUCUUCUAAAGCCCCAGAGAACCCAUCAUCUGAACUGGUCAACACGGAGGUGCCCACAGAGGGGCAGAGCAGCACCCAGCCACCUCAUGCCUCAGACCCUGAGGAGGAACCCAAGCCUGCCCCUGAGGCCAAGGUUCCCCUCUUCAACAAGCUUUUCAAGAAGAAAACAGAGGACAAGGUUCUGAAGGAUGUGCCUACAGUGCAGCUUGAAGUCUCUGAAGGGGAGAAGCCUGUUGUGAUGACAGUCACCAUAGAUGGCCUCCAGAGUGCGCCCGGACGCACCAAGGAGAAAGCGGCCACGACCAAGGGUUCGAACGGCCUCAGUGGCACGCCAGUGGGAAGCGAAGCCCCCGGCGCCAACGGUGAGAGCGUUCAGGCAGAGGAGACCAAAGAGGGCAAGAGUAUCGUAGAGGAGAACCCAGUAAUGAACUUCUUCAAAACGUUUACAAAGGGCCCUAAGGAGCCUGAGGGCAAGACCAAGCUGGAGAAAGGGUCCCCAGCGAAGGAAGCAGUCCCAUCUGCAACAGAGCCCAAAGAUCUGGAGCCCAGUCCAAAGGACUCUACAGGCGGGGCCUUCAGCAAACUCUUCCGACAGAAGGGCGUACAGGAAGUAGAUGCUGCUACCGCUGCAAAGACUGCGAAGACGGUGCCUCCACCAGAGCCACCCAAAGCUGAAACCAAAGCAGAACCAGCUGCUAAAAACAUCCAGAAAGAGGGGCUCAAAGACGUGCCAAGUGGCCCGGAAACGUCCGCCAAGAAGCCUUCUAAAGGUGGCCGCUUCUCCAAACUUUUUAGUUCUAAAACGGCCGCUUCGAAGGCCAGUACCCUAGAGGCCACUCCACCACCAGAGCAGCCCCCGAAACCAAUGGAGAAAAAGAAAUCUAAUCUCAUCUCCAUUUUCAAGACCAAGGCCCCUGAGGCCACAAAGGAAACCCCCCCUGAGGCUCCACCGCUGCCGGAGGCUGCACCCAGCGCCAAGGCGAAAGAGGAGCCCAAGCCCCCCGCAGAGGCCGAGAAGAAGAAGAGCGGCAAGCAGGAGGCUGCCCCUAAAGCCAAGGCUCCUGAGGUCACCGCCGACAACAAGUUGGUGUCUGAGGCCUUGCCAGGUGGAGAUGAUGUUGUCCCCAGUGUCACCAAGAAGCUUGAGAAGAGGAACUCAAUCCAUUUGUUCUUCAAAAGUUUGGUAGGCCAAACCACCUAGAUUUCUGACCCUCUGACAUACUUUCUGUAGUCGUCGUUACAAUUUCAGAAUAGACCUGGGUCCCUAAGUUUCAUUUUAUAUGUAUAGAAACAUGAAAAACAUACAUUAAAUAUGUUAUAUGUUUUAUACACUGUAUACAGGUGGUCCCCGACUUAUGAUGGGGUUAUGUUCCGCAAAACCUAUUGUAAGUCAAAAAUAUUCUAAGUCGAAAAUACAUUUAAUACACCUAACGUACCGAACAUCAUAGCCUAGCAUACAUGCGAUGGCCAUUAUGGGCUUGCAGCCUUCAUGUUGAGCAAUUAUCUUGAGUUUCUCCUCAAGAGUAAUUGCCCUCCUCUUCUUGCCACCAGUAGCAGGAGACACAGAUGGACAUUUCUGUGAUAUUAUGGAUGCACAAAACACAGUGUAGACACAAGGGGGUAUGUGUUUAGUGACUGCGUGACAGACUUGGAGAUGCGGAUCGCUGCCUCUGCCCAGCAUCGUGAGAGAGUAUCCCACUGCAUAUUGCUUGCCCAGGAAAAAAAAUCAAAAUUCAAAAUCCGAAGUAAGGUUUCUGCUGACUGUCUAUCGCCAGCUCACCAUCGUAAAGUCGAAAAAUUGUAAGUCGAACCAUCGUAAGUCGAGGAGCAUCUGUAUAGUAUUAACUAAAAUUUAAAUUACGCAUGUAUAUUACCAGUAACUGUUGUGUUCUACUUGCUGAUG